UUGAACUGAAGAGUUUGAUCAUGGCUCAGAUUGAACGCUGGCGGCAGGCCUAACACAUGCAAGUCGAGCGGUAGAGAGAAGCUUGCUUCUCUUGAGAGCGGCGGACGGGUGAGUAAUGCCUAGGAAUCUGCCUGGUAGUGGGGGAUAACGCUCGGAAAC
RNAcentral lists this ribosomal RNA (159 nucleotides) under Pseudomonas sp. NFACC05-1. RNAcentral describes it as "16S rRNA. Bacterial SSU". It matches the Rfam family "Bacterial small subunit ribosomal RNA", at positions 1 to 157 of the family's 1533-position model. Lineage: Bacteria; Pseudomonadati; Pseudomonadota; Gammaproteobacteria; Pseudomonadales; Pseudomonadaceae. The record is from RNAcentral.